UUUCCGUAGGUGAACCUGCGGAGGGAUUCAUUACCGAGUUUAUAAGCAGCAAACCCCUGUGACAUACCACUUGUUGCCUCGGCGGAUCAGCCCGCUCCCGGUAAAACGGGACGGCCCGCCAGAGGACCCCUAAACUCUGUUUCUAUAUGUAACUUCUGAGUAAAACUAUAAAUAAAUCAAAACUUUCAACAACGGAUCUCUUGGUUCUGGCAUCGAUGAAGAACGCAGCAAAAUGCGAUAAGUAAUGUGAAUUGCAGAAUUCAGUGAAUCAUCGAAUCUUUGAACGCACAUUGCGCCCGCCAGUAUUCUGGCGGGCAUGCCUGUUCGAGCGUCAUUUCAACCCUCAAGCACAGCUUGGUGUUGGGACUCGCGUUAAUUCGCGUUCCCCAAAUUGAUUGGCGGUCACGUCGAGCUUCCAUAGCGUAGUAGUAAAACCCUCGUUACUGGUAAUCGUCGCGGCCACGCCGUUAAACCCCAACUUCUGAAUGUUGACCUCGGAUCAGGUAGGAAUACCCGCUGAACUUAAGCAUAUCAUAGUGGGGAGGGA
Molecule: ribosomal RNA, 547 nt
Filed under: Fusarium oxysporum
Lineage: Eukaryota; Fungi; Ascomycota; Sordariomycetes; Hypocreales; Nectriaceae
Description: eukaryotic LSU rRNA
Rfam family: 5.8S ribosomal RNA (bases 181-334)
Source: RNAcentral